CGUCUUUCUCUUAUCACCUUAAACAACUUCACUGUUGUGAGAAAAGUUUGGCAACAUUUAUGUAGUUAUGCAUAUGUGUAAAUUCUCUUAAACUAGUUUUGUUCUGACAGCUUCUUAUAUCUGUAAUUUUGAUCAAAUGGUCGACCUUGCUUAUGCAAUGUGCAAAUGAACUUUAUAUACUCUCACAAAUAUAGUGAAUCUUAUUAAAUUUGAAUUCACCAACUUCUGCUAGUUUAGCUUUGCAACAGUUUUAGAAUCUCUACAGAUUGCAAUCUGUAGCGAUUACAGCAGUGUUUAAGCUGUUUCUUGAUGUCAUCCACUUAUUUGUUUACUCCUUAUCGAACGGGAGAUGUGAGUGAUAAGACUAGACAUAAUACUGUGCGUAUCUCUCUUAUCACAAGACAUGCAAGAGAGCCGCACGGCGGGGGUUCGAGUUUAUUUCCAUAUGAACUGUUCAAACAGAACAACAGCAGCUAUCUAGCUACGCUUUGGCUAGAUACUGUAUACCCAUGAGAUAUGAAAGAAUGUUGGCCACGAAUUAUUUUGGCUGGUUCUAUAGAAUGGUGAGGCUCUAGAAGAUUCGAGAAAGACGUUGGCUGACGCAGUGCCCAAGAUUUCAGACAAAGACUGGCGAGUGGUUUCGAACAAGCAGCUGUUGCAAGAAAUAUAGAUUGCAGUGAUGUCAAGUGCUUUCUGGUGAUGCCUGGCAGCCACGAUCAAACCUCACUCCCGUCUGCAUAGAAGGUGACCGCUCUAACACGUAUCGGGAACUCAAACACAGGUGCUUGACAAAAAGACGUCAAAUAGGACGUUCACGAGAAUUUAUUGUACACUAUCGAAACAAAGAUCUUGUCAGUAAAGAGUUGUAUGACCAGCGAUCAAUGUAUGGUGGGAUCCAGGACCUAAAAGGAACUCGAGCUAUUUGCAACAGGCCACCCAAUCAGCUUUGGAAGCGUCCUAAACACGACACUGAAAAACGCCAUUUGCAAGUUUUGGGACACAAAAUGCUUACUACAACCUGCUGGCUUACUAACUUUGUCGCUUUCUUACUUGGUUGCUGACAGCUAGCUAUGGAACAAUACGGUUGGGCAAUGGUCUGCAGCUGGAUGCUGACUCUGACGCUGGUGACAAUGAUCCGCUGCCGCUUUACUUGGUUGCUAAGUGUAUGUAUUUACUUCCGGUAUUUGUGCGUUUGUGUUUGUCACACAAUACUAAAUUCGUAAUAAUAUUUUGUAAAUGUGAAGUCUUCUAGCACAACAUGCUGAUGCAAAUACAAGUGAUUUUUGUG
Long non-coding RNA from Corticium candelabrum, 1288 nucleotides. RefSeq lists it as uncharacterized. Lineage: Eukaryota; Metazoa; Porifera; Homoscleromorpha; Homosclerophorida; Plakinidae. The record is from RefSeq and is a predicted model, not a curated record. The transcript has 3 exons.